Molecule: unclassified non-coding RNA, 349 nt
Filed under: soil metagenome
Description: partial contains 5.8S ribosomal RNA, internal transcribed spacer 2, and large subunit ribosomal RNA
Rfam family: 5.8S ribosomal RNA (bases 1-120)
Source: RNAcentral
GAUGAAGAACGUAGCGAAAUGCGAAAAGUAAUGUGAAUUGCAGAAUUCAGUGAAUCAUCGAAUCUUUGAACGCACAUUGCGCCCGCCAGUAUUCUGGCGGGCAUGCCUGUCUGAGCGUCAUUUCAACCCUCACGCCCCUAGGGCGUGGUGUUGGGGAUCGGCCAGCGCCCUCGCGGGCGAGGCCGUCCCCUAAAUCUAGUGGCGGACCCGUCGUGGCCUCCCCUGCGAAGUAGUGAUAUUCCGCAUAGGAGAGCGACGAGCCCCUGCCGUUAAACCCCCAACUUUCUCAGGUUGACCUCAGAUCAGGUAUGAAUACCCGCUGAACUUAAGCAUAUCAAUAAGCGGAGGA